RNAcentral lists this ribosomal RNA (432 nucleotides) under uncultured bacterium. Its description in RNAcentral is "partial 16S ribosomal RNA". It matches the Rfam family "Bacterial small subunit ribosomal RNA", at positions 29 to 506 of the family's 1533-position model. The record is from RNAcentral.
AACGAACGCUGGCGGCAGGCCUAACACAUGCAAGUCGAGCGAGGACUUCGGUCCUAGCGGCGGACGGGUGAGUAACGCGUGGGAACGUGCCCUUUGCUUCGGAAUAGCCCUGGGAAACUGGGAGUAAUACCGGAUGAGCCCUUUGGGGGAAAGAUUUAUCGGCGAAGGAUCGGCCCGCGUUGGAUUAGGUAGUUGGUGGGGUAAUGGCCUACCAAGCCGACGAUCCAUAGCUGGUUUGAGAGGAUGAUCAGCCACACUGGGACUGAGACACGGCCCAGACUCCUACGGGAGGCAGCAGUGGGGAAUCUUAGACAAUGGGGGAAACCCUGAUCUAGCCAUGCCGCGUGAGCGAUGAAGGCCUUAGGGUUGUAAAGCUCUUUCAGCUGGGAAGAUAAUGACGGUACCAGCAGAAGAAACCCCGGCUAACUCCGU